RNAcentral lists this ribosomal RNA (608 nucleotides) under bacterium 82-L049640-122-012-B11. RNAcentral describes it as "bacterial SSU rRNA". It matches the Rfam family "Bacterial small subunit ribosomal RNA", at positions 59 to 650 of the family's 1533-position model. The record is from RNAcentral.
CAGUCGAGCGGAUUGAAGGGAGCUUGCUCCCUGAUAUUAGCGGCGGACGGGUGAGUAACACGUGGGCAACCUGCCCUGCAGAUGGGGAUAACUCCGGGAAACCGGGGCUAAUACCGAAUAAUCGGUUCUUCCGCAUGGAAGAACUCUGAAAGACGGUUUCGGCUGUCACUGCAGGAUGGGCCCGCGGCGCAUUAGCUAGUUGGUGGGAUAACGGCCUACCAAGGCGACGAUGCGUAGCCGACCUGAGAGGGUGAUCGGCCACACUGGGACUGAGACACGGCCCAGACUCCUACGGGAGGCAGCAGUAGGGAAUCUUCCACAAUGGACGAAAGUCUGAUGGAGCAACGCCGCGUGAGCGAAGAAGGUUUUCGGAUCGUAAAGCUCUGUUGCGAGGGAAGAACAAGUACGGGAGUAACUGCCCGUACCUUGACGGUACCUCGUCAGAAAGCCACGGCUAACUACGUGCCAGCAGCCGCGGUAAUACGUAGGUGGCAAGCGUUGUCCGGAAUUAUUGGGCGUAAAGCGCGCGCAGGCGGUCCCUUUAGUCUGAUGUGAAAGCCCACGGGCUCACCGUGGAGGGUCAUUGGAAACUGGAGGACUUGAGUACA